This 440-nucleotide ribosomal RNA is filed under the name uncultured bacterium. RNAcentral describes it as "partial 16S ribosomal RNA". It matches the Rfam family "Bacterial small subunit ribosomal RNA", at positions 338 to 795 of the family's 1533-position model. The record is from RNAcentral.
CCUACGGGAGGCAGCAGUGGGGAAUAUUGCACAAUGGGGGAAACCCUGAUGCAGCGACGCCGCGUGAGUGAAGAAGUAUCUCGGUACGUAAAGCUCUAUCAGCAGGAAAGAAAAUGACGGUACCUGACUAAGAAGCCCCGGCUAACUACGUGCCAGCAGCCGCGGUAAUACGUAGGGGGCAAGCGUUAUCCGGAUAUACUGGGGGUAAAGGGAGCGUAGACGGCGCAGCACGUCCGGAGUGAAAGCCCAUGGCUUAACCAUGGUACUGCUCUGGAAACUGUAGAGCUUGAGUGCGGGAGGGGGAGGCGGAAUGCCUGGUGUAGCGGUGAAAUGCGUAGAUAUUAGGAGGAACACCGGCGGCGAAGGCGGCCGGCUGGACCGUAACUGACGUUGAGGCUCGAAAGCGUGGGGAGCAAACAGGAGUAGAUACCCCUGUAGUC